GCCCUUGGUGCACCAGGCGCGAAAACUUUACAAUGCGGGAAACCGUGAUAAGGGGACACCGAGUGCCAGCAUCAUAUGCUGGCUGUCCAGGUGUGUAAAAUACACCUGUCAGCAAGGGCCGGGCAAGACCGGUGCCAGCCGCCGCGGUAACACCGGCGGCCCGAGUGGUGAUCGUGAUUAUUGGGUCUAAAGGGUCCGUAGCCGGUUUGGUCAGUCCUCCGGGAAAUCUGACGGCUCAACCGUUAGGCUUUCGGGGGAUACUGCCAGGCUUGGAACCGGGAGAGGUAAGAGGUACUACAGGGGUAGGAGUGAAAUCUUGUAAUCCCUGUGAGACCACCUGUGGCGAAGGCGUCUUACCAGAACGGGUUCGACGGUGAGGGACGAAAGCUGGGGGCACGAACCGGAUUAGAUACCCGGGUAGUCCCAGCCGUAAACGAUGCUCGCUAGGUGUCAGGCAUGGCGCGACCGUGUCUGGUGCCGCAGGGAAGCCGUGAAGCGAGCCACCUGGGAAGUACGGCCGCAAGGCUGAAACUUAAAGGAAUUGGCGGGGGAGCAC
This 556-nucleotide ribosomal RNA is filed under the name uncultured archaeon. Its description in RNAcentral is "bacterial SSU rRNA". It matches the Rfam family "Archaeal small subunit ribosomal RNA", at positions 323 to 879 of the family's 1478-position model. The record is from RNAcentral.